UGACGAGAGAACGAUCAA
This 18-nucleotide unclassified non-coding RNA is filed under the name Mus musculus (house mouse). RNAcentral describes it as "oocyte_clustered_small_RNA8890". The record is from RNAcentral. Lineage: Eukaryota; Metazoa; Chordata; Mammalia; Rodentia; Muridae.